RNAcentral lists this ribosomal RNA (453 nucleotides) under uncultured Paludibacter sp. RNAcentral describes it as "bacterial SSU rRNA". It matches the Rfam family "Bacterial small subunit ribosomal RNA", at positions 341 to 792 of the family's 1533-position model. Lineage: Bacteria; Pseudomonadati; Bacteroidota; Bacteroidia; Bacteroidales; Paludibacteraceae. The record is from RNAcentral.
ACGGAAGGCAGCAGUGAGGAAUAUUGGUCAAUGGGCGAGAGCCUGAACCAGCCAAGUCGCGUGAAGGAUGAAGGUUCUAUGGAUUGUAAACUUCUUUUAUUCGAGGGUAAAGUGAGUCACGUGUGGUUCAUUGCAAGUAUCGAAUGAAUAAGCAUCGGCUAACUCCGUGCCAGCAGCCGCGGUAAUACGGAGGAUGCGAGCGUUAUCCGGAUUUAUUGGGUUUAAAGGGUGCGUAGGCGGGACGUUAAGUCAGUGGUAAAAGCGUGUGGCUCAACCAUACCAAGCCAUUGAAACUGUCGUUCUUGAGUGUAAACGAGGUAGGCGGAAUGUGACGUGUAGCGGUGAAAUGCUUAGAUAUGUCACAGAACCCCGAUUGCGAAGGCAGCUUACCAGCAUACAACUGACGCUGAGGCACGAAAGCGUGGGUAUCAAACAGGAUUAGAUACCCUGGUA